CAGAGGGUGCUAAGCGUUUGUUCGGAAUUACUGGGCGUAAAGCGCGCGCAGGCGGAUCCUGCAAGUCCGAAGUGAAAUCUCACUGCUCAACGGUGAGGCUGCUUUGGAGACUGCGGAUCUGGAGACCGGUAGAGGCUGGUAGAAUUUGCAGGUGUAGCGGUGGAAUGCGUAGAGAUCUGCAAGAAUACCCGUGGCGAAGGCGGCCAGCUGGGCCGGUUCUGACGCUGAGGCGCGAAAGCGUGGGGAGCAAACCAGGAUUAGAUACCCUGGUAGUCCACGCCGUAAACGAUGGGCACUAGGUGCUGGGGGGAGCGACCCCGUCAGUGCCGCAGCUAACGCGAUAAGUGCCCCGCCUGGGGAGUACGGCCGCCAAGGCUG
Molecule: ribosomal RNA, 378 nt
Filed under: uncultured organism
Description: bacterial SSU rRNA
Rfam family: Bacterial small subunit ribosomal RNA
Source: RNAcentral